UACAGAGGUCCCAAGCGUUGUUCGGAUUCACUGGGCGUAAAGGGUGCGUCGGUGGUGAGGUAAGUCGGAUGUGAAAGCUCGGAGCUCAACUCCGAAAUGGCAUUGGAAACUACCUUGCUCGAGGGUUGGAGGGGGGACUGGAAUACUUGGUGUAGCAGUGAAAUGCGUAGAUAUCAAGUGGAACACCAGUGGCGAAGGCGAGUCCCUGGACAACUCCUGACACUGAGGCACGAAAGCUAGGGGAGCAAACAGG
RNAcentral lists this ribosomal RNA (253 nucleotides) under uncultured bacterium. RNAcentral's name for it is "partial 16S ribosomal RNA". It matches the Rfam family "Bacterial small subunit ribosomal RNA", at positions 524 to 776 of the family's 1533-position model. The record is from RNAcentral.